This 1620-nucleotide long non-coding RNA is filed under the name Anthonomus grandis grandis. RNAcentral's name for it is "uncharacterized LOC126750671". The record is from RNAcentral. Lineage: Eukaryota; Metazoa; Arthropoda; Insecta; Coleoptera; Curculionidae.
UGUAUAUAACUUAAGGUGGAUUAAGUCGAUAAGAGAAAUCAGUUUUUGAGAAGGAUAUGUCAAUCUGGAUGUGUCAUCAUUUUCUUGAAAUUGAACAAAUAGGUGUUAUGUUUCUACUCCAUGUGAAUAUCAUUUCUACUCAAGAAACAGAAAAGUGUUUGGAGCAAAUUCAAUAAUUGGUGACAUUUUUAGUCGGACUUAGAUGACAGACAAAAUUUUUGUAAGGAUGGAUUCAAUGGAAAUUAAAAAAAAUAAUGUCUGGGCAAUUCCUAAUAUACAAACUAGUGAAUAAAGGAUAUUAUUUGCAUGAAUAUCUUAGAUGAAGACAAGGAAAAGGAAAUACUUGAUAUUUUUCCAGUGAAGGUUCAAGAAUUAAAACUGAAUUGUAAAAAAAAAGUUAAAUUGAGAACAGUGAUACAGAUAUGUCCAAAAUCGGAUUAAACCUAUAAUUAUAGCCUGGAAAAUGAUAAUACAACAAGAUCACCUAAACAUUAUUAGAAAACACUUAGGUAUGUCAUAAUUGAAAUUUACCUGUCUCCUGCUCUAUGUAGUUGCACGAUGAUUCGAUGUUGGCACGUUUGUAAAAUAAUUUAUCAACCCAGAACUCAAAAAAACUACAAAAAGCUAUAAAUUUACUUAAAAACUUUAAAUUGGGAGAUAAUCAUGAGGCUUGGCUUGUUUUCCACCACUUUUCCACCCAAAGAAAACUUAAAAAAGACAAUCGUCAAAUACGACAGUUAAAAUGUCAUUAACGUCACUCUAUUUAGUGUGAUUUUCCUUUACAAACUUAUUUAGAACAAUCAUCCGUAAUGGGAUUCACCUGUUUAAUUCGUGGUUUUGGAAACACUAGUGAUUCUGUGAAGAUGCAUUGUUUGCCAAAGGACCCCAAGACCAAAAGAAUUUGGAAAUUAAGGCGUCAGGUCUUCCCAUUCGCAGACCAGCUACCAUUUAGAUUCUGUUAAGUCUUUAUGUCUCCAAGAAGAAAGUGAAUUUGUUAUUCAGGAAAAUGAUGCAAGCUUGUCACCUGAUCAAAGUCAAGCCAUAAAUAAUAUUGAGGACUUUAGAAUAAUUUCUACUCAUGCGUACAUCGCAGGAUAUCUUGCCAGAGUAAUUAAAAAAACUAUUGGCAAUUGUCCCACUUGCAUUAAUCAGUUACAAGCUAUAUCAAGUUUCAAAUUUCUCUUCAUAGCCGCAUUUCUAUUAGUCAUUUAACAAUAUUAGUGAAAACCGCACCUCAUUACCUUAAAAAAUAACGAAGUUAUUUAGGAAUUGAAAAUUUAUCGGCUAGCCUAAUCUAUCGAGGAACUGUAUUCAUUUGCCACCACUCCAAAUUUCAAAAUUACCAAUUUGCUUGUCAGCUCCCCAAAUUAUAGGUCUGGGUAUAAUACGUCUUGGUUUUUUAAUUUUUUGGUAUUGUUACUGUCGUAUUACUUUAAUUUUAGUGUGUUUUUUACUGACAAAAUCCAAUAUCUUAAAAAUACAACUUAGAUGGUAAAUAAUUUAGUUGUAUUGGAAUUAUUACAUAAAUUGCACGAAACAUAUUUCAUACAAUAUUAUGUGUUUGUAUUAUAGUUUUUAGUAAUGUAUUUUGGUAAAUAAAGGAUUCGUUUUUUUCUAUAA